RNAcentral lists this ribosomal RNA (327 nucleotides) under uncultured eukaryote. RNAcentral describes it as "partial 18S ribosomal RNA". It matches the Rfam family "Eukaryotic small subunit ribosomal RNA", at positions 1470 to 1796 of the family's 1831-position model. The record is from RNAcentral.
CCCUUAGAUGUCCUGGGCCGCACGCGCGUUACACUGAUGCAUUCAACGAGCUUAUAACCUUGGCGAGAGGCCUGGGCAAUCUUGUUAACGUGCAUCGUGAUAGGGAUAGAUUAUUGAAAUUAUUAAUCUUGAACGAGGAAUUCCUAGUAAACGCAGAUCAUCAAUCUGCAUUGAUUACGUCCCUGCCCUUUGUACACACCGCCCGUCGCACCUACCGAUUGGAUGGUCCGGUGAAGCCUCGGGAUUGUGGUUCUUGCCGCUUUAUUGUGGCGUGACCGCGAGAACUUGUCUAAACCUUAUCAUCUAGAGGAAGGUGAAGUCGUAACA